GACGAACGCUGGCGGCGUGCUUAACACAUGCAAGUCGAACGGUAAGGCCCUUCGGGGUACACGAGUGGCGAACGGGUGAGUAACACGUGGGUGAUCUGCCCUGCACUUCGGGAUAAGCCUGGGAAACUGGGUCUAAUACCGGAUAGGACUCCUGGCUUCAUGGUUGGGGGUGGAAAGCCUUUGCGGUGUGGGAUGGGCCCGCGGCCUAUCAGCUUGUCGGUGGGGUAAUGGCCUACCAAGGCGACGACGGGUAGCCGGCCUGAGAGGGUGACCGGUCACACUGGGACUGAGAUACGGCCCAGACUCCUACGGGAGGCAGCAGUGGGGAAUAUUGCACAAUGGGCGCAAGCCUGAUGCAGCGACGCCGCGUGAGGGAUGACGGCCUUCGGGUUGUAAACCUCUUUCAGCUAUGACGAAGCGCAAGUGACGGUAGUAGCAGAAGAAGGACCGGCCAACUACGUGCCAGCCGCCGCGGUAA
This 478-nucleotide ribosomal RNA is filed under the name uncultured bacterium. RNAcentral's name for it is "partial 16S ribosomal RNA". It matches the Rfam family "Bacterial small subunit ribosomal RNA", at positions 28 to 523 of the family's 1533-position model. The record is from RNAcentral.